This 457-nucleotide ribosomal RNA is filed under the name Sicarius diadorim. RNAcentral's name for it is "partial 16S ribosomal RNA". It matches the Rfam family "Bacterial large subunit ribosomal RNA", at positions 1955 to 2708 of the family's 2925-position model. Lineage: Eukaryota; Metazoa; Arthropoda; Arachnida; Araneae; Sicariidae. The record is from RNAcentral.
GGUAGCAUAAUAAUUUGCCUUUUAAUUGAAGGAUAGAAUGAAAGGAGUCACGACUUACCAACUUUCUAGAAUUUACCAUAAUGAACUUUACCAAAAAGUAAAAAGGCUUUUAUAACUAAGAAGGACAACAAGACCCUGACGAACUUAAACCUUAUUUAGCUGGGGCAGCUAAAAAACAAAAACUUCUCAUAAACCUUUACCCUGACCCAAUACUAUUGAUCAUAGAUACAAGUUACCGCAGGGAUAACAGCAUAAUCAGACUCUAGAGACCCUAUCUAAUGUCUGCCAUUUGACCUCGAUGUUGAAUUAAUAAAGCUAUAUUAAGCAAAAAGAAUAAAAGCAGGUCUGUUCGACCUUUAAUAAAUUACAUGAUUUGAGUUCAGACCGGCGCAAGCCAGGUCAGUUUAUAUCCUCUUACAAUCAGUGUUAGUACGAAAGGACCCCACAAAAGUUAAUA